AAAUACCUUGCAGGGUGCUGCCGAUGACUCAAAUUUGAAUAUGGUCAGAAAUUUGAACAAGCAAUUAGAAGCAGCUACGGAAAAUACUUCAACGGCAUCCUCCUCUUCUCAAAUUGAUCUGUGGAAGUGAAUUAAACUCCUCCUACUUAAGACAAGUACAUAUUGAUCAUAGGAAUUAGUACAGUUCUUUGUUGACUAAAUAACAAGUAUUAUUUGUACAUAAUAAUACUACUAAGAAAGACUAUAUAUAUGACCCUUCCACUAAUAUUAAGUUAAGAGAAAAUGAAUUAACCGCUUGGUGAUGAAAGAAUAUAUAGGUGAAUUAUAUAUGCAGCCAUCUUUAUUAGCUGCUUGAGAUGUAAUUGAAGCAUUUUCAUUUUGUCAGGCAUGGCUAUCGAUGUUAUGGUAUGAUAGCUACUGCUUUGGUUAUGUAAACCAGUGGAUAUUUCGAAUGUGUUUAAAUGUUACAUUAUGUAGUGAUAUUAGAAUAAUAAUAUCCGUGUUUUAUUUUUUGAAUUUAUUUUAUAUUGGUAUUCAUCCAGUUAAAGGAACUCCAAAAGGUCCUAAAUGGGAAAGUAAUUUCCAAUAUCAGUUCUUGGUUUACUUUAGCAAAAUUUUUGUAUCCACAAGCUAAGUAAGGGGUAAAAAUUAAACUGGACCAUUGAGUUCCAAGCCUAAAGUCGGAAAAGGCUUAAUUAACUUGGCAAUAUGGUGUCAAAAAGACAACCCAUAAGUACUUUCUAGAGCUGAUUAAAUACCAAUUUGGGGAAUCAUAGCUCAAUAGGUUGGCUACCUAAAUUUCACCUUGUCUGUGAGAGUUCAAUUACCCCUCUAUGUAAUUCCUUUCACCCGUUUCCCUUCUCCUACCCCCUUAUAUAUAAUUUUAUUUUAUUUUAAAAAAACCCAAUUUCAAAAUUUUUAAGAAAAAGUAGAUCUAUUUUCCUUAUUAAAGUUUAACUAUAUAUGUCACUCCAUUAUAUAUGGGUAAAGCAUUUAUAAACAUGCAUUGCUUAUAGGUUAAGUCUGUCUUUGGUUAAUUUUUUUUUUUCUUUUGGAAAAGAAAAAUGAUUUAUUUUUCCGGCUUAAUUUGCGGUCCAUCAGCGGAUGAAUAUAUUACGUAACUUUGAAGGUGAGACUUAUCCGGUUCAUCGGUACUCUUGGCAGCUUGAACUGCAAUUGCUUUGCUUAAAGACUUGUUGUUUCUUCAGUCUUCACAGCAAAGAAAAUAAUCUAGUAAUACUCUGAAAAUAUUUACCAGAUCGAAAGAUCACGACUCGAAGUCCAAGUUAUGCAUGCAUGCCACUGUACUAUUACCUCUAAAGGACAUUUAUGUAGCUUGAAGAACAAUUAAAUCCAUCUAUAACAACAAGCAGGGGCGGAUUUAGGGGGGCUGAAGGGGUUCACCCGAGCCCCUUCGCCGAAAAAUUACACUGUAUAUAAGGCAAAAUCUGAUUUUUACCUCUAUAUAUUAAGUUUUGAACCCUCUUAACACAACUCAAAAGUGUAGUUUAGUGGUCAAGAGGGUUCAAAACUUUUAUAAGGUUAUAGGUUCAAUUCCCACUAGCUACAAUUUUUUUUGAACCCCAUCGUGGAGAUUCUAAAGAUUUUUUUACAAUAACUUGUACUAAAUAAUAUUUAUCAUAAAGAAUUAAUUACCCGUAAUUAUUAACUAACUUUUAAACUGAGCUGAUUGUGUAACAUUUUUAUAUUGCAUGCAUAGAAUUUAAACAAAAGAACCAACAACAACAACAACAGUAGAAGCUUUCGUAUCAAACAAAAGGUAUUCCUCUGUUCCUUUCUGGGAGAAGCUAGAAAGAAAAAAGAGGAGGAUGAGAUGGUCUUUUUCCAACAUGUUGACAUGCAGAUGUAAGCAAAUACUUAAACGGUGAAACUUGUUCUCAGUCUCAGUUCCUUUUUCUAAAGUAUAUUUGCUUAAUUACCAAAUAUCUCCUCAGAGUUGAAAUUUGAAAACGAGAACGUAACAUUAUCCUUAAGAAUAUAUAUAUAUAUACAUAUACCAAAGGAAAAAAAGAGGUUAAGCAAGAUAGUGACAACGAUACUUACAAAAACCUUUUCUCAACAUGCAUCAGCUAGAAAUCCUCUGAACUGAUGAACCAAGAGAAAAAUGAAGGGAAGUCAGAGUUGAUUGUAGAAAAUCUUGUGGAUUAAAUACCAUGAAAAGGUGGGACUAAUUGGGACAUGGCUUUGAUAAUUUCAAGCAAAGGUAAAAAAAAUUCCAUACUCAUUAAGUAUGUUCCCAACUCAUUGACCGAGAGAGGACAGUAAUAUAUGUCAAUCAAUACUAUAGAAUGGUAUCCUAGGAUGAAAAGAAGAAUUAUCUUAAGUCUGAAAAAGUGCGGAUUCUAGGAGUCAAAAACAUUGGUGUGUAUACGCAUGACAUGAAGAUGAUGAGCACCUGGG
Molecule: long non-coding RNA, 2421 nt
Filed under: Nicotiana tabacum (common tobacco)
Lineage: Eukaryota; Viridiplantae; Streptophyta; Magnoliopsida; Solanales; Solanaceae
Description: long non-coding RNA (NTAB_LNC007445)
Source: RNAcentral